Peromyscus eremicus (cactus mouse) is the source of this 354-nucleotide long non-coding RNA. RefSeq lists it as uncharacterized. The transcript is spliced from 3 exons. The record is from RefSeq and is a predicted model, not a curated record. NCBI's taxonomy places the organism in Eukaryota, Metazoa, Chordata, Mammalia, Rodentia, Cricetidae.
GGUGUGAAGCUUACGAAGGGCCACAGCAUAUCCCUCCUCAUCCAAUAUUGAAACUACCAUGAACACUGAUUUGUUUUAGAAGCUGCAGAUCAGAAAACAUGAAUAUUUUGGAGACAGUGCAGAGGCCUGUGGUGAGGAAGAACAUCAUGGAAGAGAACAUGUACAGUGCAGAGCCAAUUACUUCAUCACUGAUAAGUGAUAAAGGAGAGGAAAAUGAUGGAAUUCUCAUUAAGCUUUCAUUAUCACCAGCAAGGACAUGUCCCCAGUGACCUGAAGGCCUCUUACUAAGACUAACUUCUUAAUGCCUCUACUGCCUGAUAACAAUACCAUGGACUAGGGACCAGAUUUUUAACA